This 256-nucleotide ribosomal RNA is filed under the name uncultured bacterium. Its description in RNAcentral is "partial 16S ribosomal RNA". It matches the Rfam family "Bacterial small subunit ribosomal RNA", at positions 524 to 776 of the family's 1533-position model. The record is from RNAcentral.
GACGGAGGUGGCGAACGUUAUCCGGAAUCAUUGGGCGUAAAGGGUGCGUAGAUGGCAUGAUAAGUUAUUAGUGGGAAAUCGAGGCUCAACCUCGUGGAAGCUAGUAAUACUGUUUUGCUUGAGUACAGAAGAGGUUAACGGAACUCCAUGUGGAGCGGUAAAAUGCGUAGAUAUAUGGAAGAACACCAAUAACGGCGAAGGCAGUUAACUAUUCUGUUACUGACAUUGAGGCACGAAAGCGUGGGGAGCAAAACGG